UACUGCUUCACGGCAGAAAUAGGCAGG
RNAcentral lists this non-coding RNA (27 nucleotides) under Bombyx mori (domestic silkworm). Lineage: Eukaryota; Metazoa; Arthropoda; Insecta; Lepidoptera; Bombycidae. The record is from RNAcentral.